UUUAUGAACAUGACAGUCAAAUGGCUUUGUCAUGUUUUCAUUAUGACAUUUUACUCUCUCUGUGUUUUCCAGUACAAAAAAGUCAGAUCUUGGUGACUCUACCUGAAAAUUCUCAAGACAGCACUAUACACUACCUGUACAGCCAUUUGAAAACAACAGUUAAGUUACACAUUACUGUAUUUGGUGAGGUAACUGAGUACAAGACACACUAGACCAGGCUGUAUGUUUUACAUAUUUACUGCAUAUGCUCUUUGCAGUUCUACAGCAUUGUCCAAAAAAAACAACAGUCACUUAUUUAGGAAAACAUAAGAAAUACCAUAUUGUUAGAACUGUGCACAGAUAUAAACAAUAUAACAGUGCAUAUUACUGUAAACUGAACAUAAAUUAUUCCUGGAAAUUCACAGUGUUUCUCCCUACAUUUGGUUGCACCCGUCGACCAGCCUCAGCCAUAAUGAGGCCGUGAUUGACAACAUGGUCCACAAGUGUAGCCCUAAUUUCAUCAGGGAUUUGUUUAUCUACUUCACCUCUUCUUCCUCUGCCCCUGUUUUUUCCCUUACCCUUACCCUUCCUCCCAACAUUCUCACCCCUUCUCCUCGACGCUGUCACUGAUGCUCCAUUUUUGUGUCACAGAAUUGUAGAAAUGGUACACAGUAUGUCCUGCUUGGUUUAUAUAUGCUAGCAAAGUGAGGGUUCGUGGGAUUCAGCUCUGAGUGACUGUGGACAAGUGGCUUGUCAUUGGUUACAACUAAUUCUUCAUACAACUCCUCAUGAGUGAAGGCUGAGAUUUACCUGAGAGAAAUUGUCCAAUUUAGGAGACAUUUUCAGUAAAAAAACGAUAAAGGGAUGUAUGAAAUCAGCUUGACAGAUUUUGACAACUAGUUCAACAAUUUUGUAUGUAAUGACUCAAGCAAUGAAAUGAGGACUAUUAGUUUAAUAGGGAAUGACUAGUCAGCAUUAAAAAUUAUAGUUAAUUUUGUCCGACAUGACAUAAGCAAAUGAUAAUGUUAUAAAACAGCAGAGAAUUGAAUGAAAGUAACUCAUACAUGUCCAAGAGCAUUUGCAGUUUGAGAAAAACUGUAAGAAAUCACCAUUUGGUUGUUUUUCCUUAAUGUUGGUUUGCAUAGUAAAAAUGACGAUGGCAAUAUUUCACCACUUCUUUUUUCAUGCAUUAUGUCCCAUUUUAUUGAGAAUCAGAAGAAACUGAUCAUCUUUAUUAGAAUAAGAGAAAACAAACUUGCCAUUACUAUUUUAAACACAAGUAGGUCAGUCCUUAGUUUGAGGUCUGCCUUUGUCUAAAAACACACAAUCUUCAGUAUUUGCCAUCAUCAUAAUACUUGUUUUUCAUUUUAAUAUCUCCACCCUCACCAUCUGAGCCUCACCUUCAACUAUACCUUUUUGUAAGUCCACCUUUCUUUUUUAUAUUUUCACAUUUAGCACAUUUUUUAAUUUAACGAGUCCUUUUUCUAAUUGCUAAAAAGGUCACAACUGACCAAGGGAGGCAAAGAGAUAUGGAGGUCUAUAGUAUGAAUAACAUUAAAACCUUUUUUAGCAAAAGGCUCCCCAAUAACUUGUAUUUGUGUGAAUCUUUUAUUUUCAGUCCUUUUACAUUUUAUAAUCCAUUAACAAAUGGAAAAAAACAUCUGACGUGACAAACUGAGAAUGUAUUUGCUGAAUAAAAAAUAUCAAUAAUUUUCUUCACACUUUAAACAUAUCAAGUCCUGUAAUGGUAAAGCAUAUUCAAGCUCCUGCGAGGAACUUUUGUCCGUGCCCCCCCCUUUUUUUUGUUUGUUUGUCUGUUUUAAGAUAAGACAAACUUAUUGAUCCUCCAAGGGAAAUUCAAUAAAGGUAAUUUCAGCACCUCCUGUGGACUUCUCCGGUCCUCUACAUGCCUUAACAGUGUCUUACGAUGAAAAACAUCUCAUUCCACUGACUUCUGACUGUCAGAUGUUUCAUUUAUUUAAUCAAGGCUGUUUCUUCAGCUGUUCAAUUGACACCUACCCCACUAGCACCAGUUUAAAGCUUUCAAAAUUACAAAUGAAAAAAAUGUUAACUUUGUGAAUGGUAGUCUUCUUUGCCUUUGUAUUUCAUAAAAAGGCCUAAAUAUGAAUUUCAGACUAUUUCAUGCAUUGCAUGAUUUUCUGUCUAAAGAGCCCGUCUCUCAUUCACUUCAAUUAUUGAUGCCAAAAAUAACAACAACCUGAGUUUCCUUGGGGGGAAAAAAUGGAUAUAAAGUUAUUGCUUUGCUAUUUUAUUAUUGUACAUUUAAGUGUCAAGCUAAUGUAUACUAUUUUUAAUAUUAUGUGCUAAUGCAAAACUCCAUAUUUAAAUUCUUUAUUUCUGGCUCAAACUAGUAACUCAAAUAAGAUGAUGAAACAGUGCAGGAAGCAGUUAGAGAUGAUUUCAUGAAUCAUCACAGUUUAUUUCUCACUCAAGCAUUAAUUGGUUUAUUUUUUAAAUUUUAUUUACUGUGUCAUACGUAGUGUAAUAUUGCAUUAGUGCCAUGAAUCCCAGCAGGACAGCGGUAUGAAGGAACCCUGGUGUUGUGAAGAAGCCGUGUCUGACACUUCAGCGGCCUGAUUCACAACACCAGCUGACCCUCCACACCCUUACACACACACAGACACACACACUCACACUCCUGUAGUGGCACAAAGAGGCAGUGUGAAGUCAGGAGUUUAUCUUCAGUGAGUCAGCAAAGAAAGGAGAGACUGGCAGGGCGCCACAAGGUGUUUACAGUUUGCUCUCAGAGGGCAGCAGAAACAAAGAGCCAGACGGUACAAGGAUCUGAACAAUUAGAGGAAAUCAAUCGGCCUCAUUAUCAUUAACAGCAGCAGAAUACUUACCUCUUCAACCUCUUACUACUACCAUAUGACUGACUCCAGCUGCACGUGGUGAAGUGGUUUAUUAUACUAACUACUGACAGGAAAAUAAAGCUGAGAUCGGACAGACAGCAACCUGUGUGCUAUACUCUGUCUCCAUUAGGGGGCAGUCUCAACACAGCAACUUUCCUCUGCUUAACCAACUGGAGGGUGAUGGUGCCAGGGGGCUGCAAACCAGAACUUUACCUGGAGAAAAAAGCACAGAGCAUAGAAAUUAAUUCAGCCCAUUAAUACCUAAAUUAUAAAUUUACAAAAUAUCUUCCUUCUUCAUGAAUAAAUUAAGGUCAUCUAAUUUUGUUUGCCUUCAGUUUAUGCACUCUGAGGGGAGGUGGCAUCUGCAGGGGUGCAUCUAGACUUUUUGACUGAGUUGGGCCAACACUGGGGGCAUUAAGUGUGCACACAUGACCAAAUGAAUACUUAGCAUUUACAUUUUUGUCCUGCAACUUUUUCUGCCAACAUUAUCUGUAAAAGGCAUCUGGGAAUUGCAGGAAUUAUCAGUAAUAAAUAUGUGGAUGUGUAUUAAUUAUGACUUUCAAAG
Molecule: non-coding RNA, 3417 nt
Organism: Xyrichtys novacula (pearly razorfish)
Lineage: Eukaryota; Metazoa; Chordata; Actinopteri; Labriformes; Labridae
Source: the annotation of a GenBank genome assembly